GACGAACGCUGGCGGCGUGCUUAACACAUGCCAGUCGAACGGUAAGGCCCUUCGGGGUACACGAGUGGCGAACGGGUGAGUAACACGUGGGUAAUCUGCCCUGCACAUCGGGAUAAGCCUGGGAAACUGGGUCUAAUACCGAAUAGGACCACAGGACACAUGUCCUGUGGUUGAAAGCUUUUGCGGUGUGGGAUGGGCCCGCGGCCUAUCAGCUUGUUGGUGGGGUGAUGGCCUACCAAGGCGACGACGGGUAGCCGGCCUGAGAGGGUGUCCGGCCACACUGGGACUGAGAUACGGCCCAGAGUGCUACGGGAGGCAGCAGUGGGGAAUAUUGCACAAUGGGCGAAAGCCUGAUGCAGCGACGCCGCGUGGGGGAUGACGGCCUUCGGGUUGUAAACCUCUUUCACCAUCGACGAAGGUCCGGGUUUUCUCGGGCUGACGGUAGGUGGAGAAGAAGCACCGGCCAACUACGU
Molecule: ribosomal RNA, 473 nt
Filed under: uncultured bacterium
Lineage: Bacteria
Description: partial 16S ribosomal RNA
Rfam family: Bacterial small subunit ribosomal RNA
Source: RNAcentral